UCGUGAGCUUUUGACUUGAGCAUCUUGCUGCUCGAGCUCGACUUAAAAAAUUAAUCGAGCUUGACUCGAGCUUGAUAAUAACUAAGUCGAGUCGAGCUUGGACUCGAUUCAAGCUCGGACUCAAGUCGAACUCGAGUAGCUUGCAAGCAGCUCAACUCAUUUGCACCCCUAGGUACAAUAAUAUCUUCCACUAUUAUAUUGUCUACUAGAAUCAAUACAUCACCAUCAUC
This 230-nucleotide long non-coding RNA is filed under the name Elaeis guineensis (African oil palm). Its description in RNAcentral is "long non-coding RNA (EGUI_LNC034074)". Lineage: Eukaryota; Viridiplantae; Streptophyta; Magnoliopsida; Arecales; Arecaceae. The record is from RNAcentral.